GACGCGGGCGGUUCGCCGCCCGCGACUCGGCGAGAAGUCCAUUGAACCUUAUCAUUUAGAGGAAGGGGAAGUCGUAACAGGUUUCCGUAGGUGAACCUGCGGAAGGAUCAUUG
RNAcentral lists this ribosomal RNA (113 nucleotides) under Kefersteinia sp. SRR-2011. Its description in RNAcentral is "partial 18S ribosomal RNA". It matches the Rfam family "Eukaryotic small subunit ribosomal RNA", at positions 1722 to 1831 of the family's 1831-position model. The record is from RNAcentral. Lineage: Eukaryota; Viridiplantae; Streptophyta; Magnoliopsida; Asparagales; Orchidaceae.